Molecule: long non-coding RNA, 677 nt
Filed under: Carica papaya (papaya)
Lineage: Eukaryota; Viridiplantae; Streptophyta; Magnoliopsida; Brassicales; Caricaceae
Description: long non-coding RNA (CPAP_LNC000660)
Source: RNAcentral
UAGAUAGCUUCCCCUAGUAGUGUUUCACCCCUGGCAAUAGACACAAACAACAAUGAUUCAAGUUUAUCAGGUGAUACAUUAAUUUUGAAAGCAAAAGCAUGUGAAACAAGAGAGUGCGAUGCACCAGUGUCAAAUAAAACAUGAGCAAUAUGGUCACAGAUAGUAUACAUACCAUGUACUACAUCGGGGUCAGCGUCGGCAUCCUGCUGGGUAAGGUUGUAAGCUCUACCCUGGAUAGGAGGCCUCCCUUGAUUCUGGUUCCUCGGGCAUUCUCUGGCAUAAUGCUGGGCACUGCCACAAAUGCGACAAGUGUUGUUGAGGCGGUAGCAGGGUCGGUCCCCAUGAUCUCUGCCGUAGUGUUGACAGAUCCCACGUGCUGCCCCUAGAGCCUGAGGAGGGGCCUGGAUGGCUGGUCUGGGCCUCUUAUUUGGUUGGGCAGGCGUAGUAGGUGCUGGCCUGCAGAACGGAGCUGAGGGUCGGGAACUCCCUCCUUGCUAAGGACGGGUGCUGAAGCUUCUUUCCACGAUCUGUGCCUUUGCUAGGACUGCUGAAUAUAUCUUGAGCUCCAUUACUAACAAGUGUUGCCUGAUCUUUGGGUAGAGACCCGACUAGAAUCUCCUGGCCUUUCGGCCCUCAUCCAUCAAUGUCUCUGGGGAGUAUCGGCCUAGCUCUAGGAA